GCUACCCAAAGUGCAGAGACAUGAAACAGAAGGUGGGCAGUAAAGUUCAUUCCAGGUCAGCGGCAGCAGAAGGACAUGGGCUCGGAGACUAAUGCACAGUGCGCUCUCUGGAGCAGUGACUGGGACCUGGGUAUUCACAGCGCCGGUCACAGACAGCUGGGGGUGAAACUCUCACUGAUGUAUCCAGUUUUGCCCCUCCUAGUCCCUAGCGUCCACGAGAAGGGUUUUAAAAAAAUUUGUCUCGGAAAAUCCAUCUUGCAGUGUGUGGAGGACAUUAAUUCUGUCUGGGAGAGAGAUGAAACAGAGGUGUCCUUCAUUCCUUAACGACAAAACUCACAGAAGUCUUGGCAGCCUCGGGAGCUCACAGCAGUCAUGCAUCAUCUAUAUUUUAAAACUGCGGGCAGAGAGUCUUAAAGACACAGUCUGCUCCUCGCUGACCCAGAUUCCUGUCAUAGUUACAAGAGAAGACAAGAGAAGAAGUGUAGCAUUAGUCUGUCGAGGGAACCCACCGUAGUGCAAACACAGAGCGUCUCAGGACUGACAGGGCACUGUUUACGACAGGGACAGUCAUUUCCUUAAUGCCUUCUCACUUCCUCGUGAUGUAUGGUAGGAUAUGAAAAAGCAGCAAAGCUAGCGGCUUAAAUGAAUAAAUCGGAAUAUUUUAUUAAUGCUGUCCUGUUGUAUAAAUUAAUAAAUCGGAAUAUUUUAUCAAUGCUGUCCUGAUGCUUAAAUUAAUAAAUCUGAAUAUUUUA
This is a long non-coding RNA of Electrophorus electricus (electric eel), 752 nucleotides long. RefSeq lists it as uncharacterized. The record is from RefSeq and is a predicted model, not a curated record. NCBI's taxonomy places the organism in Eukaryota, Metazoa, Chordata, Actinopteri, Gymnotiformes, Gymnotidae.